Molecule: long non-coding RNA, 8361 nt
Organism: Cygnus olor (mute swan)
Lineage: Eukaryota; Metazoa; Chordata; Aves; Anseriformes; Anatidae
Exons: 2
Source: RefSeq, a predicted model, not a curated record
CUGAAGGUCAUUUUAUGUCUUGAGGAUACAUACCAUAUAUUUCUUUAAAAAUAAUCAUACUUUUGUAAGCAAUACUUUACAGUAGACACCUCAAAUCUACCAUAGAUGUAAAACUUAAACCGAGAAAAAUUUAGUCUCUAAAUCUUUAUACACAUAUUUAUAUUCGAAUUUCUAUAUAUAUUAUAUAUAUACACAAGCACAAGAAAACUAAUUCAAGAUGCAAAUAAAGCUCAUAUAUAUAUUAAUCAAGAAUUCUCACUGUGUAAAUUGAUGUUAUUCAAUAUCAUUCCCAUUUUGCAUCCAGAUCUGCAGCAUCAUCACUAUUAGUUAAAAAUAAAGCCAAUUUAAAUAAUAACAUAACUCACUUGACUAAAUCUAACACAGAAAGCAGGUUUCAACUAGAAGCAGAAGAACCUCACACAAGGCUGACACUCGCCAGGGGAUGCAGAAUUCACAGCAACUGAGAUAAUGCAGUCUGCUAAUGCUGUACAUAGCACUGUGACAGAGCAGUGAAAUGAUAACGCCUCAGCCUUAUACUGCUGGAGUCAAAAAACACUACUGGAGCUCCCCAAAAAACAGAACAAAACACCCAACAACAAAUACAGAAGACUAACAACACUAAAUUAAACAACCACCUACCUACCCCUCCCUGAUUUACACAUUUUAAAGCCAGAAGGAACCACUGUUACUUCAUCUUAUUGCUUGAGCGACACAGGAAGAAACAAACCUGGUUAAGUUGCCGUUUCAACACCUGUACUUGUACGUGAAUCAGGACCUUACUUGGUAUAACUGCUAACCUUUCUCUAUGGGUUUUUAGACAUGGAUAGCCCCCUCUAUGCACAUUAACUUCUAUAAUGAAUGACUUUGGGUGCUGCAAAUGAAUGUAGACUAAGAACAGACCACACAACUUUCAGUUAGUAUCACCAGGAAUUCAUUAACUAAGUCAUCCCUUUUUUUUGUUCUUGUUGUUUUUUGUUUUGUUAAAAAUGACUGUUUUAAAAUUCUUCCAACUAAGUAAUGUUCAAAUCCUUCUUCCAACCUCACUUGAUUUGCUAGCUACUGUUCUUGCCACCUCUCAACACCUCACAAAAUAGGGUAUUUCUAAUGCAUAAUUUAGUCAUUUAUCCUCAUAAAACUCACUGGCUACAAAAACAUUGUUCUGGUAAUGAAGGUUCUUCAUCAGAAAACACCGCUGAUGCAGCAUUAGAUGAAACUCCUCGCAAUAAAGCUUGUCACAAACAUAGAAACUGUGAUAAUAGCACUGAGAAACAUCCUAGAGGUUAAUGCUGGCAUGUAUGAUUUCAAAUCAAGCUAUCAAAAACAAUGGCUGUUGGACUUCGGGCUUAAGACCAGAACAGACUGACUGUUACAACAAACACUGAAAAGAAGAAGAGCAAACAUCUCACCCACUUCAGGCUGGAGCAAAGACGAGCAUCCCGAGAAACUGGUGCUCAUCGUGACAAGCAACAAUUCAAAACUUCUGCCAGAUUUCUAUCUCAUACACUUCUAUCCUCUGACAGAAGAUCAGAGCAAUAUAGACAAAGACAGACCUAACAACAGUCUCCAAAGCAUGCCUAUCAAAAUACCAAACACAGCUUAUUCCUUGUGCUAGGUGAGUCCAGUGCCGAAAUAGAUUGCAACCUCAAAGAAACUGCAAGAGCAAUGCAGACGCUCCGAUGAAGCAUCAUCCAACUUGAUAAAAACUCACUGACCUAUGCCUGAUGUCUGAGGUAGUUCUUGCAAAGAUGCUACUGCCUCCCCACCAAAAAUAAUCACCCAGAAAACAACUUAGAAACACGGCGAUAUAAAAUCACCUCUACCCAAAGAAACUCAUCGACCACGGCUGCGUGAGUCUGAGAAUCAAGAAUAUAUGCACAAGGUUAAACUAGAGUAACUAGUUGCUUCUAAAUCUGUUCUUUAAUCCUUGCAUUAUCAAACUAAACAAUAAAACCAGGAAAAGCAAAUCCACAGCAUUAAAAUCAGAAUUAUGAAAAACAGAAUUAUGAAAAAAAAUCAGUUUAAAUAGAACAACAGUUCUCAGGAACUUUCUGAUGUGAGGAAGACCAAACCUGAAGAAAAACGAGAGUGCUCAAAACUGGUGUGAUUUAAGCUUCUGGAGGCACAACAAGGUAAUCAGCCCAGAGCAAAAACUCAAUAAAGCCAGGGUACGUGGGGUCUUCAGGGAAGAAGGGGGCAGGAGAGAUAGGAAAAACUGCUGUAUGCUUAGGGAAAUUACACAUUUGGAAAGGCAAACGAAAUACAGAAGAAACCAGACAGUAGUAAAGAGAAAAAAAUCAGAUGAACAGAGGUAUCUCAAAAUCAACACUUGCAGCUAAUACCACAGCAAGUGACUCUGAAGUUUCCUAUUAAGUUACCAAAACCCUGUAUGGAAAUUUCAAGAGGAAAAGGGCCAAAGGAAAAAAAGCCAAGACAGGAAAACACCUGUAAUUCAAGGGACAGAGGAAGCAGAUGGGCAGAAUCUUUAAAGUUGUCUUUGGCAGACCAGUUUCACUCUUCUUUUUUUGACCAUCAAUAACAGUAACUUACUAUUAAUAGCAAUACAAGAGAACUAUUAAACAUUAUCCACAGUGUGCAAAAAAGAGUGAUGGAAAUUAUUAAAACAAACAAACAAACCUCCCCAGAAAUACUAAGACUUGAGAGUGGCACCUGAAAGGAAAGGCUGAGUAUCUCCAGCAAUGAAAACACAGAACUGCAGCCAGUCCAGUGAAAGGUCGUUUUGACCACAGCAACUGUAAGGAAAAUCUCACACCUCUCUGUCACAAGAGCUUAUUUUUGUGACAGGAUUUCAUAUGGGCUGAAAGAGGCAGCAGAUGCAAUGCUAAAUUAAAACCAAGCCUGAUUCAGGCCCUAAGAAAAUAUAUGUCCAAGUAGUUGCCUACAAUGCCAUGAUGGAGGAGUGACUAGAAGGACAGGUUUCAUUCAUCAUUCACUCAAACUGGCUUUUCACAGGCUGUAGGUGCUGCAGAACACCCCUCAGUCCCACGGAAGCCCAGAGAAGCUGUCGGCCUGGCCAAGACAAGGAGAGAGGCAGGGCUGUGACUGACCACAGCGCUGCCCAGAGCCCAAGCUGCAGCUCCCAGCUCACUCCCGUUUGCUUGACAGGAAAAAGCAACAACUCGUGUAACUGCUUCACCCCAUGGACCAAACUCAAAUUGCCGGGUUUAUGAAUGACACCAACAGCAGCAGAUGGAGUAGGUGCCUGGAUUUUAGGUGAUUAACUGACCUCUUGAAUAAAGAACCACCAGAGUCACUAGAACACCCCUUGUUCAUUUUACUGCUUUCUAGGGUACAUUCCCACACCUCCUAAAAACAGUUCACAUCCUUCAGUCAGAGCACAGCUACGACAAAACACCAAGUUUCCCACAAACACAGGGUGAUCCAGUCUCCUCUGCAACUGUCCAUCAACUACACUCAACUACAUCAAGAAUAUUCUGAAGUUAGCACGAUAGUACUUAUUUUCCAUGAAUCAGGACUCGUUAUCAUUAAUCCUUUCCAUUUCUUUAACAAAUCACCUCAGUGAUUUUAUCAUUUCACUCAGGCCUCACGUCAGACCACCAGCAUCACAUUUACAGGGCUCAGCCUGUUCAUUCCUCUGGAAGCAGUCAGUCCCACAGCAUUUUUCAAGUCCUCUGCAACUUUUUUCAUUUUCCCAGAACUACCAAAACCCAAAUACAUGAUCAACAACAGCUCUCUGGCCCGCUCCUCCACAGCUCACGGACAUCUGUUAUCCAGGCCUCUGACUUAAAAACACCAAAUUCAAGUCUAACUACUGUUCAGUGUCCUCCUUGAUUACUGUGAAAACAGAGAGUGCGUUAUCAUACAUCCCACGAUGUGAACACGCUGUCUGCCUUUUUCCCAAGCACAGAACAAAAAUAUUUAUUGAGCUCUUUUGCCUCUGUAUUGACUAUCCUAAGAGCUCUGUGCAGUCAUAUUAAGCCUUCAUAUUUUUUUGUGUGUUUAUCCUAGUUCAUUCCUGGCUAUAGUUUUCUUCUGCCAAGCUUUGUUUCUGUUACAAGUUUUCAUGAACUUCUAGCUUCAGUGCUAGAAGCACUGAAACAUUUGAAACAUUUGCCCCUUUUCUUUUUAACGCUUGAUUGCAACUUUUUGAGGGCAGUGAAAAAGUUGCUAUACAAUUUCCAGCUAUCCAUACAUUUGCAUUUUAGGUACAUUUUAUAGGCCAAACAGAAGCUACGUUGCAAUAUUUGCACUUAAGCAGUUAUUUUUGUUGUGAAGUCAGACUAAGUGAAUUAUUAUUUGAGGAUUAGCUGCCUGAGAAUUAACAGGGUUUUACCGCUCAGGAGAUUAUAGUUAUUCUGAAGAAUAAAAUUAAUACCCUCUCUUUCCCACAUAAAAAUCACAUUUAACAUGAAUAUAAGGAACAGUGGGUUUACGUGAUACUCUAUCUUAAAUCCAUCAGAAUUACCCAAUGUACAGAGAAUGAACAAAACAUCUUACAAAUGUGCUUGCAGAAGCACGUGAAGCACUGGGAUGCACGGUACUUAUUUGACCCAGUCCUGAUUCAAAACAGAAAUAGCCAGUCUUCCUUAACAAUUAGUGGAUGCAAUUAAUUUCUUUCGUAGUGCAAGUUAUUACAAAAGCACGGGAAAAUGGCUGUCGAGAUUCCUCACGCUGGGAAGGAGGUGGUUAUUCACAGUGCCUAGCGCUGGCUCUCCCAGGCUCAUCUCCUCAGGCUCCUUCUGUAGCUGGUAGAAAGAGAUGCACUCUCAAAGGGCAAUUCAAAGAAUUUAAGCCAAGCUUACAUUAUGCUUAAAUGCAAGUAAUGCCAGAUAAUUAUACAACCUGUUUAUAAUGCAGUUCUCUACUUUAGCCUUUCACAACCAGGUACUAGCUGGCAAUACUCCCGGAGAUCUUUCAAACCUACAGAAAAUCCUACAAUGUAAUUGUGGAUUUUCUCAUUAUGCAAAUGUAUUUCUAAUCAUUUUUGAAUUCCGUUCUGGUUUUGACCUCACUACUAUAGCUUGGCAGAGAAUUUCAUAGGUUAAUUAUAUGUUAUGUAAGAAAUAAGUGUUCCUUUUUUCUUUUUUUUAAUGACUUAUAUCUUUCCCUUCUAUUUCAUUUGAUAAUCACCUUCUUCUUAGGGUAUUAAAAUAAGACAAACAAGCACAUUAAUGACUUAUGUAAGAAGAGCAUUACAAGGAGUGGUACGAAACUUUCUCUUACUCUCAGCAUUCUCCCUCUCUAAAUGUAACAGCAAAAUACAGAUCUUUCCUAUUUUUUUUUUUUUUUUUAACUCCCAGAUAUUUCUGCUGCCCAUCUGCAGACAAAACUGAAUGCAUUACUCCAAGCAGGCUUUAGACACUGAAAUCCCAGCAUUUAAAAUUUUAAUUUUAAAACUUUUGCUACAGUGAAGGUGACUUGCCAGAAGGAAGGUGGCUUUACAGCAACUGAACAAUUUGCCCUCAAGCCAAACUAGUCUUUUGCAUACAGACAAAAACCCCUUUCCAUAAAACAGGAGCUGCUUUUGUUUUUAAGAGCAAAACACAAGCUUAAUCGGGCUCCUGUCUACAUUCCCCUCAAAUAGAGUUGGGCUCUCUGGCUCUGGAUUGCAGAGCUCCCAACCCAGUGAUUCACUCACUGCCUUCUCGGAGCAGACCUGAUCGCCAGGCAGCCCUUCCGAAAGAUCACCCCGAGGUUGUUUCUGCCACAGGCUUCAACACAGAGCCCACUGAGCAAUGUGGUGUCAGCCCACUUCAGCUUCUGCACUGCUUUUUCCACUCCUCCUCAUGGCUCUUAUUUCCUGUGCUUCUUUACAUGCUGGCCAGUCAUCAGCCCCUUUUUCAGAUUUGUUUUGCCCAGACCAUCUUCUGCUUGCUGACCUAUACUUUUAUCCUUUUAAAACAUCCUUCCAGAAGCAGCUCAUCUCUGCUGGUCUCCUGUCACUUUCUUUUCUCCAUUGAAUGCUCUCUCCCCUUUCUCGCUACACACCAAGCAAAAAGAACUACAAAAAGUGUGUCAGUCCCAUUUAAUAUGCAUUACCAUCAAGCCUACACCUCUCAUCUGCCUCCCCCAAUAAGCCAAACCAGUAAAGCUUUCAAAUUCAGAAAUGCCUGUGAGUUUCACAAUUAGGCUUUCUGUACGUUACCAUAGAAGUGACCACACUAACUUUCAGCUGCCACGAGGCUGCCCAAUUACUCAGUCUGGCUUGUGAAUUUUUUGAAGACUUCUUACACUGACUCUCAACAAUUAUCAAACGAAAGUUUUGUCUGGAGCUUUGCAUGCUCUAUUCAGGCUGUGAAUGUGCUUUUAUAAAUAACGAUAAAAAGUAACAACUAGGCUAUUUCUUUUACGAGAAGCAAAACAAGGCAAAUCAGGAACUUUUUUAUACUGCUUAAAGGAGGGACUCGACCUCUCGUCAGCGUCAGAGGCAGUAAACGAUGGAGCAUCUUAAUUUGAGAUGGAUACUGCAUUUUUCACAUUACUCCUGCAAGAUGCUAAUGAGAUGCACCAGCUGAAACACAGAGCUAGAGAUCAGCUGGUUUCACUUCAGUACAAAUAAACAGCUCGAGUUUUAAAUCUCGAGUCUUGUGACAACAUUUCAUUAAUUCUCCUUUCAAAAACAUUGCUUGUGGGAAAAAGAUACUUAAAUCUCUCAGAGUAUGGAAAAGAGGUUUUGAUAACAGUCUUUUAAAGGAGCCCAGACACAGAGCUCAACAAGGCAGCACGCUCUUCAUCUUUUUCCCCCAUGUCUUAACAACUGGCUUAUCUAAUAACAAACAGAACAGUUAUUCCUAGCAAAUUUUCUUCUUUUAGUCACAACAGAUUUUCACUUAUGCUCAAAAUUACUUGGUCUUUUCCAUGACCUCUUCUCAAUGGGUGAUUUUCUCUAAGAAUCUAAGGAAGGAUAAUUAAUUUAAUAGUACACUCUUAUCUGUGAUUUUGCUCAGAGGCUUAAAGAAAUUUGGUUUACUAUACAGACGGUUUACUACUCGAAACAUAAUAAUUUAGUUGUUUUAUAACCACCUUAAAAUUUACUGUUGCAAUCAGUUUUAUUGGUAGGGAAGACUAACCGAAUUACACGUACAGUUCUCAGAAUCACCUCCUCAGUUUGCUUUCAUCUGUACAACAAUUCAACAUUUGUUACCCCACUAUUCUCCAAAAUAGCAUCUAAAUGAGAUUUGCAUAUUUUAGUCAACAGCUCAGCUGCUGCGUUUCUCAAUUCCUCGCAACUUUUCAGUGAAUAUCAGCUAGUCCUUCAGGGGAAGCUCCACUUAGAAGCAUCAAUAGCUACUACUCCAGCACCUUCCGUUUGACCCCUUCUCAGUCUCCUAAAUAACCUCAGCUCACCACAUGAAUAGAAUGGGUCUCUGUUAAAUAUUUCCUCAACAUCCUCACUGAGGAAGAUGGACAUAAAGAAACUUUUAAGCCUCUGGAUGAUCUUGCCCUACUUAAGCACUUACUUCAGUCUUUGAGGAAACAAAACCUUUACCAAGUCUGCUCUUACAAAACAGACAACCUAUUCAGAUACAAUUGAAAAAGAAUCAAAUGGAGUUGCCUGUUUGGCACGUGUUUUGCAUUUUAUGAUACAAAGGAUCUCUAUCCAUCCAAUGGCUUUGCUUGCACAAUUUUUUAAGAAAACGCUUACUUACACAAAACAAAAUUACAAUCUCCUAACAUUUAUUUUUGCCUGUCUGCUUCUAUUUUUAUUUUAAUUUACAUUUUCUGAACCCCUUUCCCAAUAAUUGAUUUUACCUUUAAAAGAAACAGCUUUCCUAUCUCUGAUGUUCCUUUGUUCUUAAAGAACAAGCAAAAUCCUAGCAAUAUUAACAAACAAGUCAGUUUUUAGCAGUUAGUAUUACAGUGCUGCUUUCUAUGAAAUCCCUCCUGCGAGAUAAGAAAUUUCAUUAUAUUGCAGUAUGCUAUCAUGUAGUAGGUCAAAUAUAUUUACAUUGUGAAUGAACUCUUGUGCAUUACUUAAUCCCAAACUGCUAAUAAUUUCAGGUCAUUUGUGCUCUAGACGCACAAACCUGUAGGGUCUGAAAGAUGUAAAAAAUGGCUUCUCUUAGAUAAGACUUUUUUAAACUUGUAAGCAGUUGAAAAAAGAUUAUGUAAGAAAUAGACCUUGAUGAAUUUUAAUGUGACUUACGCAUAAUAUUAAAUACUCUGGCUUGGAAAUAAGUAUAUAUAUAUUAAACUGAACCAAAUACAGAACAAUGAAGAAAACAAAAAUUAAUACAGAAUGCUGGCUAUAAAGAAAAGCAAGUUACAUCCACCUGUUCCCAUCUGCCAAACUGUGUUUUCCCCCUUGAUAUUAUCAUCAGGAAGUUUAUUCUAGCACAGUUCUUGUUGUUGUUGUUUUUUGUUUCUUUUAAAUUUAAAAAG